Molecule: small nucleolar RNA, 125 nt
Organism: Dipodomys ordii (Ord's kangaroo rat)
Lineage: Eukaryota; Metazoa; Chordata; Mammalia; Rodentia; Heteromyidae
Source: Ensembl
UUGCAAGCCUUCAGUGUGCUUGAGUCUGCUGUGACUCCUGCAUUCCUACAGUGCUUGCCAGAACAGUUUUGAAACGGUUUUGCCCUGUUCCAUCCAGAGCAAGGUUAUAGAAAUUUCAGACAAUU